GACCUAGGAUAGCUCAGUCAGCGGAGCAUGAGACCCUUAAUCUCAAGGUUGUGAGUUCAAGUCUCAUCUAGGGCA
This is a non-coding RNA of Podarcis lilfordi (Lilford's wall lizard), 75 nucleotides long. NCBI's taxonomy places the organism in Eukaryota, Metazoa, Chordata, Lepidosauria, Squamata, Lacertidae. The record is from the annotation of a GenBank genome assembly.